GAUGAAGAACGCAGCGAAAUGCGAUAAGUAAUGCGAAUUGCAGAAUUCCAGUGAGUCAUCGAAUCUUUGAACGCACAUUGCGCCCCCUGGCAUUCCGGGGGGCAUGCCUGUCCGAGCGUCAUUUCUGCCCUCAAGCCCGGCUUGUGUGUUGGGCGUGGUCCCCCCGGUUUAGGGGGGACCUGCCCGAAAGGCAGCGGCGACGUUCCGCCUAGGUCCUCGAGCGUAUGGGGCUUUGUCACCCGCUCGGGAGGGGCCUACGGGCGUUGGCCAUCCACCAUUUUUUUUUACGGUUGACCUCGGAUCAGGUAGGAGUUACCCGCUGAACUUAAGCAUAUCAAUAAGCGGAGGA
This 349-nucleotide unclassified non-coding RNA is filed under the name soil metagenome. Its description in RNAcentral is "partial contains 5.8S ribosomal RNA, internal transcribed spacer 2, and large subunit ribosomal RNA". The stretch from base 1 to 121 matches the Rfam family "5.8S ribosomal RNA", at positions 35 to 154 of the family's 154-position model. The record is from RNAcentral.